This 239-nucleotide ribosomal RNA is filed under the name uncultured Rhodospirillales bacterium. RNAcentral describes it as "partial 16S ribosomal RNA". It matches the Rfam family "Bacterial small subunit ribosomal RNA", at positions 83 to 334 of the family's 1533-position model. Lineage: Bacteria; Pseudomonadati; Pseudomonadota; Alphaproteobacteria; Rhodospirillales. The record is from RNAcentral.
CUUUCGGGAUUAGUGGCGGACGGGUGAGUAACGCGUAGGGAUCUAUCCAUGGGUGGGGGGACGAAACUCCGGGAAACUGGAGCUAAUACCGCAUGAUACCUGAGGGUCAAAGGCGCAAGUCGCCUGUGGAGGAACCUGCGUUCGAUUAGCUAGUUGGUGGGGUAAAGGCCUACCAAGGCGAUGAUCGAUAGCUGGUUUGAGAGGAUGAUCAGCCACACUGGGACUGAGACACGGCCCAG